Molecule: long non-coding RNA, 128 nt
Organism: Syngnathus acus (greater pipefish)
Lineage: Eukaryota; Metazoa; Chordata; Actinopteri; Syngnathiformes; Syngnathidae
Exons: 2
Source: RefSeq, a predicted model, not a curated record
AGUUGUGGCAUAGGUAGGAAAAUGAUGAACAGUUGAAAGUUGGAACGAACGGUUGAAUUGGUUAAAAAAUGUAGAGGUUAGAGCAAAUGUUGAAUGCGUCAUAGAGAAUGAAUGGAAAUUUUUUAAAA